This 451-nucleotide long non-coding RNA is filed under the name Sorghum bicolor (sorghum). RNAcentral describes it as "long non-coding RNA (SBIC_LNC001146)". Lineage: Eukaryota; Viridiplantae; Streptophyta; Magnoliopsida; Poales; Poaceae. The record is from RNAcentral.
GUGGCUAACUCUCAAAAACCAAUCCUUGCAUCCCACGGUAGGACUGGGCCAGGAACGGAAGGUGUCCUUCCACAGAUCCAGAGAAAAGUUCUCGGCUCUAAAAGGGAUUAUGUUUGUUUCUACAUUGAUAAGAUUGGUGGGAUCUGGAUCCCCUAACGGACCAAGACAUUGGAGGUGUGGCUGAUCGGUAGGGAUGACAAUUUUAUUGGACAGAUCCUAAUGGUUUUCAAGGUAGAAGAAGAACAAAGAAAGAAAAAGAAAAAAUGUUCAGUAAAAUAAAUUGCGGAUGAACAGGGAUACGGUAAAAGCACAGGAGGUGGAAUGAAGAACUAAUCUCAGGAACGGUGAAGUUGAUGGCCAUCUCCUCACGAAAAGGAUGAUCGAAGGCUUCGAGGUUGGUGAAGAAGGGCCUUUGUUGGGGUUCUUGGAGAUCUCGAACAGCGCCGCCGCC